Molecule: transfer RNA, 73 nt
Filed under: Ixodes scapularis (black-legged tick)
Lineage: Eukaryota; Metazoa; Arthropoda; Arachnida; Ixodida; Ixodidae
Rfam family: tRNA
About the family: Transfer RNA (tRNA) molecules are approximately 80 nucleotides in length. Their secondary structure includes four short double-helical elements and three loops (D, anti-codon, and T loops). Further hydrogen bonds mediate the characteristic L-shaped molecular structure. tRNAs have two regions of fundamental functional importance: the anti-codon, which is responsible for specific mRNA codon recognition, and the 3' end, to which the tRNAs corresponding amino acid is attached (by aminoacyl-tRNA synthetases). tRNAs cope with the degeneracy of the genetic code in two manners: having more than one tRNA (with a specific anti-codon) for a particular amino acid; and 'wobble' base-pairing, i.e. permitting non-standard base-pairing at the 3rd anti-codon position.
Source: Rfam by way of RNAcentral
CCCUGGUUAGCUCAGUUGGCAGAUCGCUCCACUGGAGAUGCGGAGGUCACUGGUUUGAAACCAGGACCAGGCG